GAUAUAUUUGAGCACCAUAAGGGCAUCGGAAACCCUCAGAAUGCCGCCAAACUCUAAAUCAAGAUCGUAUAUACAUGUGCAUUUGGCCUCGAUCACUUCCAUCCCUAAACUAAAGGUCCAUUUGUGACCUGAAUCGAGACUUGCGUGCAUGGCAUAGAAAAUGAACAACGCGAGCUCGAAAGUGUUCCGCAGAAGCGCGGCGGAGAUGAUGGUGGAAGAAUCAGUCAGCGAAAACGACGCCACCUCCGUUUCUUGAAGAGUUCUGUGCGAUUAUGGGCAACAGGGCAAGGCAUCAUUGACGUCUUUGGCAGAGGCGACGACUCGGAGAAGGAGCUGGUGGUGAUCGAGCUGGCUGGCAUCCUGAGAAAUUUCAUUGUGGCUUUCACUGAGCGAAUCUCUGGAGAGCAAGUCGUGCAAUUGAGUUGAAGAAUCAUUCUUUACUACAUGGAAAAGUGAUAAGGGUCAUGUGAUCUCGUUGCGAUCCUGAUGCGAGAAAAAGCGGCAGAGGGAAUGUUUUUGUCAAGGGUUCAUCAAAUUUCUGGGACCUUACUACAUGCUGCUUAUAACAAAAAGAAGGCAAAAUUGGUGCAAUCUGUGGUCACACAGUAUAUGCUGUCUCAAAGACUCAGAUGAUUCCGCUGCCUGAUAUCAUCAAUUCUAAACUUGAAAACAGAUACAAGAAGCUGCUGUGCACAGUCGACCUUACAAAGGAUUUUUUUUCAGCUACUCAAAUCACAUUAUGCGUAGUCUUCAAAGAAACAUGUGUGAUAAUGAGACACGCCAUGUCCUUUAUGAGACCAUGUUUGUGUGAAAUGAAUUCUUGACACGAGGAAUUAGGAAUCUCUUCUAGAAUACUCUUUCUUUUUAUUUAUUUUAAUUUUAGAUUUAAUUUGUAAUCCUCUCUAUAUUCAUUGAUAUAUGGAAAUUAGUAGUUUAGACAUGUUUCAUU
Arachis stenosperma is the source of this 949-nucleotide long non-coding RNA. RefSeq lists it as uncharacterized. The transcript has 4 exons. The record is from RefSeq and is a predicted model, not a curated record. NCBI's taxonomy places the organism in Eukaryota, Viridiplantae, Streptophyta, Magnoliopsida, Fabales, Fabaceae.